AUGCGUGAGUUCUUUUUUCAUAAUUUUCUUUGCGACUCCGACGAUUCAUCGUCCGAUGACGAGGAGAAGAUAUUGGCUGCCGUGUUGGUUCAUCACCACCUCAACAGCCAACGCCAGUUGUUUCGUGCCUCCAUUUCGAGCCACCUUCCGGCGUUGAAUCGCAACCGAGAAAGUGGACAUUUCUUUCUUUGGAAGGACUACUUUGAUACAACAAAUUCGUUGUUCAAACAUCAAAAAUUCUGCCGCCGUUUCCGUAUGAGUAGAUAUCUUUUCAACCGUAUUAGAGAGGGGGUGGUUGGCUAUGAUGACUAUUUCGAGUGCAAAGAGAAUGCCGUUGGCAAGAUUGGUUUCUCCUCUUAUCAGAAAUGCAUUGUCGCCAUCUGA
Molecule: ribosomal RNA, 384 nt
Filed under: Triticum aestivum (bread wheat)
Lineage: Eukaryota; Viridiplantae; Streptophyta; Magnoliopsida; Poales; Poaceae
Description: partial small subunit ribosomal RNA
Source: RNAcentral